AAGUCUGACGGAGCGACGCCGCGUGUGCGAAGAAUGUCGAGAGAUUGUAAAGCACUUUUAUAUGUGAGGAAUAAGCGUAGUCAGGAAAUGGGCAUGUGAUCGACGUUUGCAUAUGAAUAAGCUCCGGCCAAUUACGUGCCAGCAGCCGCGGUAACACGUAAGGAGCSAGCGUUUUUCGGAAUUAUUGGGCGUAAAGGGCAUGUAGGCGGUUAAAUAAGUCUGAUGUGAAAGCGCACACCUCAACUGURAUGUUGCGUUGGAAACUGGUUAACUUGAAUCCGAGAGGGGUGGUGUGGAAUUCCUAGUCUAGGGGUGAAAUCUCGUUGAUAUUAGGAAGAACACCAG
Molecule: ribosomal RNA, 345 nt
Filed under: uncultured delta proteobacterium
Lineage: Bacteria; Deltaproteobacteria
Description: bacterial SSU rRNA
Rfam family: Bacterial small subunit ribosomal RNA
Source: RNAcentral